This 551-nucleotide ribosomal RNA is filed under the name uncultured Bifidobacterium sp. RNAcentral describes it as "bacterial SSU rRNA". It matches the Rfam family "Bacterial small subunit ribosomal RNA", at positions 147 to 710 of the family's 1533-position model. Lineage: Bacteria; Bacillati; Actinomycetota; Actinomycetes; Bifidobacteriales; Bifidobacteriaceae. The record is from RNAcentral.
CUCCUGGAAACGGGUGGUAAUGCCGGAUGCUCCGGUUGGAUGCAUGUCCUUCCGGGAAAGAUUUCAUCGGUAUGGGAUGGGGUCGCGUCCUAUCAGGUAGUCGGCGGGGUAACGGCCCACCGAGCCUACGACGGGUAGCCGGCCUGAGAGGGCGACCGGCCACAUUGGGACUGAGAUACGGCCCAGACUCCUACGGGAGGCAGCAGUGGGGAAUAUUGCACAAUGGGCGCAAGCCUGAUGCAGCGACGCCGCGUGCGGGAUGACGGCCUUCGGGUUGUAAACCGCUUUUGAUCGGGAGCAAGCCUUCGGGUGAGUGUACCUUUCGAAUAAGCACCGGCUAACUACGUGCCAGCAGCCGCGGUAAUACGUAGGGUGCAAGCGUUACCCGGAAUUAUUGGGCGUAAAGGGCUCGUAGGCGGUUCGUCGCGUCCGGUGUGAAAGUCCAUCGCUUAACGGUGGAUCCGCGCCGGGUACGGGCGGGCUUGAGUGCGGUAGGGGAGACUGGAAUUCCCGGUGUAACGGUGGAAUGUGUAGAUAUCGGGAAGAACACC